Molecule: transfer RNA, 84 nt
Filed under: Tolypocladium guangdongense
Lineage: Eukaryota; Fungi; Ascomycota; Sordariomycetes; Hypocreales; Ophiocordycipitaceae
Description: tRNA-Leu
Source: RNAcentral
GCAGAUAUGCUGGAAUUGGGAGACAGACUUCGUUUAGGCCGAAGGGAUUUAAUUAUCGUGCAAGUUCAAGUCUUGCUAUCUGUA